CGUUUCAGUAUUUCCAGUGCCAAGUUGUGAUGACAUGGUAGAUGUGAAUGUUUUUUAUGUUGUGACUGAUCAGUGAUGUCUCCGGAUGUCUCUCCUUCUAAUGUAGUUGAUUCUUGUUAUCUCCAUUUAUCAGACUAGUAGUAGUAACACGCCUUGAGCUGACGAACUCUCACAUCUAUAACGAAGCAGUCACUCGGUUGUAGCCGGGCGACAUGUAUUGCAGGAGGAUUUGGCCUGUAUCACCAUUAACUGGAUUGUGACAGCUUCAAAAUCUAUGACGUAACCCGUCAGUUCUUCAAAGUACUAGUAGGCGGCCACCACAACAGUAGUGACAACAAAACAGCGAAGAGCAUUGCUUAGCGGAGAUGCACUUUAAGCUUAAUAUUGUCUUCAUCCUGCACUCACAAUCAUUGGAGGACUUUGUAGGAGUAUAAUGAAUCAAUAGGCAAUCUAUGGCAAAAUGUCUCAUUCCAAAUUUAGCAGUAUGUAUCGUGUUUCUCCAUGCUGGUGCAUUACACAUUGUGCAAUAACAAAAUAUCCAUAGUCCUGAUUUAAACUACUUUGCAUACGACAAAUUUCAUGUGGUUUCCAUUAUUGUUUUUAGUUAUUACAGUUCAAUUCUGUGUGAAUUACUCUUUCACUUUUGUCUAUUUGCGUAGAGGGUGAAUUGAGUUAACAUAAUAAAAUGGUCAAUAGAAGAAAUGUAUUAUAUCUUCCUUGCUAUAUUGCUCAAACAUUUUCACGUGUACGACAAUGAAGCAAAGAACGUGUGUUGAUCAGUGAAUGUAUGAAAACUUAUUUUUGCUUCUAAUACUAUGAUACUGUUGGCAAAUCAACACAACAGCUUAGUAUUUAUAAAUACUGAAAUAAUAGCACUUUCAUUGUGUGCUUUGGGAUAUUAAAGAACAUGAUCCUGUGGUACACAAUAUACAAUUACAUUUUUGUUCAUGUAUUUUUGCAUUGUUAACAUGUCUUUCCUAUCUUUAUAACAUUUAUUGGUUACAUCCUCUAUCCCUUACGUUAUCCCCAUUCUCUCGUGUCAUAGGUCAUACAUCAUUCUAUGUGCAAAUCAUGCAAGCAAUUGAGUAACUUUGUAUUUAUUAUACACUGUUAAAGGGAUAGUAG
Priapulus caudatus is the source of this 1125-nucleotide long non-coding RNA. RefSeq lists it as uncharacterized. NCBI's taxonomy places the organism in Eukaryota, Metazoa, Priapulida, Priapulimorpha, Priapulimorphida, Priapulidae. The transcript has 3 exons. The record is from RefSeq and is a predicted model, not a curated record.